Molecule: ribosomal RNA, 470 nt
Filed under: uncultured bacterium
Lineage: Bacteria
Description: bacterial SSU rRNA
Rfam family: Bacterial small subunit ribosomal RNA
Source: RNAcentral
AUUGAACGCUGGCGGCAGGCCUAACACAUGCAAGUCGAACGGUAACAGGAAACAGCUUGCUGUUUCGCUGACGAGUGGCGAACGGGUGAGUAACGCGUGAGGAACCUGCCUCAAAGAGGGGGACAACAGUUGGAAACGACUGCUAAUACCGCAUAAGCCCACGGCUCGGCAUCGAGCAGAGGGAAAAGGAGUGAUCCGCUUUGAGAUGGCCUCGCGUCCGAUUAGCUAGUUGGUGAGGUAACGGCCCACCAAGGCGACGAUCGGUAGCCGGACUGAGAGGUUGAACGGCCACAUUGGGACUGAGACACGGCCCAGACUCCUACGGGAGGCAGCAGUGGGGAAUAUUGCACAAUGGGGGAAACCCUGAUGCAGCGACGCCGCGUGGAGGAAGAAGGUCUUCGGAUUGUAAACUCCUGUUGUUGAGGAAGAUAAUGACGGUACCUAACAAGAAAGCACCGGCUAACUACGUG